CCACCCCCAACCCCACCACUCUUUUUUUCUAUAUUUAGUCGACUCUCCUCUUCACCAUCCAAUUUAUCGUAGACUUCUCAUCUUACAACUUUCCUACUUCGCCUUUUUUGCUUCUUCCCUCUUCACUUCACAUAAUCUUAACUUUCUUGAUACAUCCAGCAAAUUUCAUCUUUUGGGCCUUUUUGAUAAAUCAACAAAGGUUAGUUCUUGGAUUUAAUCUUUUCUCUUCUUGGUUACUUUGCAAAUUGUUGUGUGUUAUGAAUUGCUUAAGUUAGCUUUGUUGGUUGGUGGAUUUUGUUUUUCUAGUUUUCCAUGUUAGAGAUCAGAUUUGCUAGAUACAGUUGACAUUGACUAAUUUGAAAAUCAAAUGCUGAAACUAUCUGUAUUUCAUGGAAAAGCUUUGUUCUUUAUAUUAUAAUCUAUUGUGGAAAAUAAGGGUUGGAGAGCGACAAAUUAGAAGCUAUUGAGGUGAUUUAAUUUAAUCUUAGCCAUUUUGAGUUAUUGUAUUGUCAUGGGUUGGCUAAUCAUUCAACUCUAUCUAGGGUCAAGUUAAUGGACAAGCUACCAAUUUAUUCGUAUUUCUUUGUUGUUAUGUUCUAUGUUGUUCUUGGCUUUUGCCUUCUAUCUUUAAGCUUUGAUCUUCUUAAAAUGUGAUGUGAUGUGAUGCGAUGUUCUACUAGUUGGCCUGCUGAAUAGGAAAAUUUGGCUAUCCAAUAGCUUUGAACUUAAAUGGAGAAAUAGGAGCAGUGCGGAUUCAUAUAGCCGCUUGCUUAGGAUUGAGGAUUGUUACCUUCUGGUCCAUUCAGGAAUACUUCUGGAUUAUUAUGUACUCUGAAACAAAUGGACCAUAUAUGAUAAAAAAGGUCUCCUAACUAUUUAUAAUUGAUGUUUUUCCCAUCAACAAUCUAGGGUAAGCUAAGGAGGAGCGGUUUUCACCCUUUUCUAUAUUUUUCCACUGUGAUUCUUUUACUUGAAAUGACACUUGUUUUUGCUACCUGAUUAUUCUCAACUUUACCAUUCCCAUUGUCGAGUUCCCUCCCUGGAGAAAAUAAAGAAACUGUAGGAUUUCGUUAUUAACUAGCUCCUAGGUUUUCCCGAGCUGCCUUACUUGUGUAAGCAUUUUAGGGUUGGUCCUGGCAUAAUGGAGUUUCUUAAGCAUUUUUUUCACAUCACAAAGACAUUUCAUUUCCUGUAAAAGAGUAGCAUGUGUUGUUCUUGGCCUGCAGAAGUUCUUAACAAAUAGCAGUACAUUAAAUUUUUGGUUAUGUUGACUUGUUUUCAGGCAAAAAUGAUGUAUGGGCAAACAAUAGCUGACUCAGGAGGAG
This 1325-nucleotide long non-coding RNA is filed under the name Nicotiana tabacum (common tobacco). RNAcentral describes it as "long non-coding RNA (NTAB_LNC007144)". Lineage: Eukaryota; Viridiplantae; Streptophyta; Magnoliopsida; Solanales; Solanaceae. The record is from RNAcentral.